AACGCGAAGAACCUUACCUGGGCUUGAACUGUAUCUGACCGGAGAUGAAAGUUUCCUUUCGCAAGACAGAUACAGAGGUGCUGCAUGGCUGUCGUCAGCUCGUGCCGUGAGGUGUUUGGUUAAGUCCAGCAACGAGCGCAACCCUUAUCGUUAGUUGCCAGCGAGUCAUGUCGGGAACUCUAACGAGACUGCCUGGGUCAACCAGGAGGAAGGUGAGGAUGACGUCAAGUCCGCAUGGCCUUUAUGUCCAGGGCUACACACGUGCUACAAUGGUCGGUACAAAGGGUUGCCAAACCGCGAGGUGGAGCUAAUCCCAUAAAACCGAUCUCAGUUCGGAUUGCAGUCUGCAACUCGGCUGCAUGAAGUUGGAAUUGCUAGUAAUGGCGUGUCAGCAAUAACGCCGUGAAUACGUUCCCGGGCCUUGUACACACCGGACACGC
This 440-nucleotide ribosomal RNA is filed under the name uncultured bacterium. RNAcentral describes it as "bacterial SSU rRNA". It matches the Rfam family "Bacterial small subunit ribosomal RNA", at positions 958 to 1402 of the family's 1533-position model. The record is from RNAcentral.